CACAUCUCCAACAGAUGCAGAUGCUAUGGAAUCUGUUUGUGCAGCUACUUUGGUAAUUUUAGACAUCUUGAAGUAAAAAACAGACAACGAAGGAUUAAAUUGAGGUAAGAGGAGAGAAAAAAAAUACAUUUUAAAAUGUAUAUAUAUAAAUGGUUGUGACCUGAAGGCUUAUUGAAAAGGAGACUGUGGUGUGAUAAUUUUAAUAGAUUGUAAAUGCAAUUGUGUCGAUGUGGAGCAAAUUGCAGUAUGCAUAGAGUAAUAAUGAAGUCAACGAGCUUCAAAAGUUGGACAAAAGAAUAUUUUGGAUACCGAGUCAGAGUACGAAAACGUCCCUGUAAAUUCCUAUGUACAUUUUUAGCAUUUUAUUUUUGAUUUUUGAUAGAAUGGUUUUCGAGAAAACUGUUACACUGUCAAAUGAAAUACUUUAGUGGUUGAUAAUAAAUUGAUGAUAAUUUUUCUAAUUA
Molecule: long non-coding RNA, 464 nt
Organism: Chelonus insularis
Lineage: Eukaryota; Metazoa; Arthropoda; Insecta; Hymenoptera; Braconidae
Exons: 2
Source: RefSeq, a predicted model, not a curated record